This 89-nucleotide transfer RNA is filed under the name Devosia sp. YR412. It matches the Rfam family "tRNA". Rfam says of the family: Transfer RNA (tRNA) molecules are approximately 80 nucleotides in length. Their secondary structure includes four short double-helical elements and three loops (D, anti-codon, and T loops). Further hydrogen bonds mediate the characteristic L-shaped molecular structure. tRNAs have two regions of fundamental functional importance: the anti-codon, which is responsible for specific mRNA codon recognition, and the 3' end, to which the tRNAs corresponding amino acid is attached (by aminoacyl-tRNA synthetases). tRNAs cope with the degeneracy of the genetic code in two manners: having more than one tRNA (with a specific anti-codon) for a particular amino acid; and 'wobble' base-pairing, i.e. permitting non-standard base-pairing at the 3rd anti-codon position. Lineage: Bacteria; Pseudomonadati; Pseudomonadota; Alphaproteobacteria; Hyphomicrobiales; Devosiaceae. The record is from Rfam by way of RNAcentral.
GGAGAGGUGGCCGAGUGGUCGAAGGCACGCCCCUGCUAAGGGCGCAGAGGUUUUAUCGCUUCUCGUGGGUUCGAAUCCCAUCCUCUCCG